GGUAAUACGGAGGGUGCAAGCGUUAAUCGGAAUUACUGGGCGUAAAGCGCGCGUAGGCGGGUUGUUAAGUUAGAGGUGAAAUCCCGGGGCUCAACCCCGGAACUGCCUUUAAUACUGGCAACCUAGAGUUCGAGAGAGGUGAGUGGAAUUCCGAGUGUAGAGGUGAAAUUCGUAGAUAUUCGGAGGAACACCAGUGGCGAAGGCGGCUCACUGGCUCGAUACUGACGCUGAGGUGCGAAAGUGUGGGGAGCAAACAGGAUUAGAUACCCUGGUAGU
Molecule: ribosomal RNA, 276 nt
Filed under: uncultured Chlorophyceae
Lineage: Eukaryota; Viridiplantae; Chlorophyta; Chlorophyceae
Description: partial Bacterial small subunit ribosomal RNA
Rfam family: Bacterial small subunit ribosomal RNA
Source: RNAcentral